CGAAUAGUAUUGUUUAUUUUUAUAGAAACUGUCUAACUCGGCUUCGGCUAACCAAACCGUAAUCGUGAUAAAAGUGUGAGUGCAUGAACUUUACUGCGGCUUAUUUAUUUAUGUCGCACGACUGCCAAUUACAAAACAAACAAAUAAUAUAAUAUGUUUCAUUGGAUAGAACCGUUCUAAUGUUACGUAAUAUGCGCAAUCAUUGAGUCUUGUCGGUCCACAAUUUGCACUUUAACACUCGUUUUGCGCACCUCGUGAGAGGCUUAAAACUUUAAAUUCUCUCAAAAAGCACUUCCCCACCUACGGUGACAUCAGUGCAAGUCUUUUGAUUGGAUGCUCCCCUUUUUAAGUUGGUUUAACUAUUACAGAAAUCAAUCGCAAUAGACUAGCCAAAUAUACUUUAUAAAGGGUGUGUAGUUGAAAAUAUUUUAGUACCAUUCCAACUGCUAAAGAGGUUGAAUUCUCUGAUACAGAAAGGCUUUCAAAUCAAACCAAUUCCUGGUUGCGAACUUAGACAUAUUCCUUUUUGUAUCUUUCUUUUCUCGACAUUAUUUUAUCGUGGGUUUCUUUUUUUUGAGCUUUGAGAUAUCUAGCAUUCCGAAAAUUCUAUUUCAAACUAUUCGGACUGAAAU
Schizosaccharomyces pombe (fission yeast) is the source of this 632-nucleotide non-coding RNA. Lineage: Eukaryota; Fungi; Ascomycota; Schizosaccharomycetes; Schizosaccharomycetales; Schizosaccharomycetaceae. The record is from the annotation of a GenBank genome assembly.